Molecule: ribosomal RNA, 728 nt
Filed under: uncultured Clostridia bacterium
Lineage: Bacteria; Bacillati; Bacillota; Clostridia
Description: bacterial SSU rRNA
Rfam family: Bacterial small subunit ribosomal RNA
Source: RNAcentral
UUCCGGGAAACCNGUAGCUAAUACCGGAUAAUAUUUUGAACCGCAUGGUUCACAAAGUGAAAGCGGUCUUCUGUCACUUAUAGAUGGAUCCGCGCUGCAUUAGUAGUUGGUAAGGUUAACGGCUUACCAAGGCAACGAUGCAUAGCCGACCUGAGAGGGUGAUCGGCCACACUGGAACUGGGACACGGUCCAAACUCCUACGGGAGGCACAUGGGGAAUAUUGCACAAUGGGCGCAAGCCUGAUGCAGCACGCCGCGUGAACGAUGAAGGUCUUCGGAUCGUAAAGUUCUGUUGCAGGGGAAGAUAAUGACGGUACCCUGUGAGGAAGCCCCGGCUAGCUACGUGCCAGCAGCCGCGGUAAUACGUAGGGGGCUAGCGUUAUCCGGAUUUACUGGGCGUAAAGGGUGCGUAGGUGGUCUUUCAAGUCGGUGGUUAAAGGCUACGGCUCAACCGUAGUUAGCCUCCGAAACUGGAAGACUUGAGUGCAGGAGAGGAAAGUGGAAUUCCCAGUGUAGCGGUGAAAUGCGUAGAUAUUGGGAGGAACACCAGUAGCGAAGCGGCUUUCUUGGACUGCAACUGACACUGAGGCACGAAAGCGUGGGUAGCAAACAGGAUUAGAUACCCUGGUAGUCCACGCUGUAAACGAUGAGUACUAGGUGUCGGGGGUUACCCCCCUCGGUGCCGCAGCUGAACGCAUAAGUGACUCCGCCUGGGGAGUACGCACCAAG